UGCAGUCGAGCGAACUGAUUAGAAGCUUGCUUCUAUGACGUUAGCGGCGGACGGGUGAGUAACACGUGGGCAACCUGCCUGUAAGACUGGGAUAACUUCGGGAAACCGAAGCUAAUACCGGAUAGGAUCUUCUCCUUCAUGGGACAUGAUUGAAAGAUGGUUUCGGCUAUCACUUACAGAUGGGCCCGCGGCGCAUUAGCUAGUUGGUGAGGUAACGGCUCACCAAGGCAACGAUGCAUAGCCGACCUGAGAGGGUGAUCGGCCACACUGGGACUGAGACACGGCCCAGACUCCUACGGGAGGCAGCAGUAGGGAAUCUUCCGCAAUGGACGAAAGUCUGACGGAGCAACGCCGCGUGAGUGAUGAAGGCUUUCGGGUCGUAAAACUCUGUUGUUAGGGAAGAACAAGUACUAGAGUAACUGCUUGUACCUUGACGGGACCUAACCAAAAAGCCACCGGUAACUACGUGCCAACAACCGCGGUAAUACCUAAGUGGCAAGCGUUAUCCGGAAUUAUUGGGCGUAAAGCGCGCGCAGGGGGUUUCUUAAGUCUGAUGUGAAAGCCCACGGCUCAACCGUGGAAGGUCAUUGGAAACUGGGGAACUUGAGUGCAGAAGAGAAAAAGCGGAAUUCCACGUGGUAACGGUGAAAUGCGUAAAGAUGUGGAGGAACACCAGUGGGCGAAAGCCGGAUUUUUGGUCUGGAACUGACGCUGAGGGGCGAAAGCGUGGGGGAGCAAACAGGAUUAGAUACCCCUGGUAGUCCACGCCGUAAACGAUGAAUGCUAAGGGUUAAAAGGGUUUCCGCCCUUUAGUGCUGCAGCUAACGCAUUAAGCACUCCGCCUGGGGGAGUAC
Molecule: ribosomal RNA, 854 nt
Filed under: Bacillus sp. (in: firmicutes)
Lineage: Bacteria; Bacillati; Bacillota; Bacilli; Caryophanales; Bacillaceae
Description: bacterial SSU rRNA
Rfam family: Bacterial small subunit ribosomal RNA
Source: RNAcentral